RNAcentral lists this ribosomal RNA (525 nucleotides) under uncultured bacterium. RNAcentral's name for it is "bacterial SSU rRNA". It matches the Rfam family "Bacterial small subunit ribosomal RNA", at positions 8 to 524 of the family's 1533-position model. The record is from RNAcentral.
AGAGUUUGAUCCUGGCUCAGAUUGAACGCUGGCGGCAGGCCUAACACAUUCAAGUCAAGCGGUAGCACAGAGACCUUGCUCUCGGGUGACGAGCGGCGGACGGGUGAGUAAUGUCUGGGAAACUGCCUGAUGGAGGGGGAUAACUACUGGAAACGGUAGCUAAUACCGCAUAACGUCGCAAGACCAAAGUGGGGGACCUUCGGGCCUCAUGCCAUCAGAUGUGCCCAGAUGGGAUUAGCUAGUAGGUGGGGUAAUGGCUCACCUAGGCGACGAUCCCUAGCUGGUCUGAGAGGAUGACCAGCCACACUGGAACUGAGACACGGUCCAGACUCCUACGGGAGGCAGCAGUGGGGAAUAUUGCACAAUGGGCGCAAGCCUGAUGCAGCCAUGCCGCGUGUAUGAAGAAGGCCUUCGGGUUGUAAAGUACUUUCAGCGAGGAGGAAGGCAUUAAGGUUAAUAACCUUAGUGAUUGACGUUACUCGCAGAAGAAGCACCGGCUAACUCCGUGCCAGCAGCCGCGGUAAU